This 708-nucleotide ribosomal RNA is filed under the name Triticum aestivum (bread wheat). RNAcentral's name for it is "partial small subunit ribosomal RNA". The record is from RNAcentral. Lineage: Eukaryota; Viridiplantae; Streptophyta; Magnoliopsida; Poales; Poaceae.
AUGGCCGGACACGGUGGCUGGAGGUCCCCGCCACUAAUCUGCAACACGGAUCCGCGUCCCCAUGCUCACGGGGCGUCAUCCGCCGGCGCAUCCUUGAGCCACGGCUGCUCGCGCGAUCCACCCGCUUUCGCCCGAUUCGCUGAUUUUUCGGAGCUCCCUCUGUCGCGGCCACCGCAGAGGACCUACCUCAACAUCCAUCAGCGCUUGUGGGGGACAUGCGUGGUGGAGAUCACUGACCGGGAGACCCACCAACGAAAGUGGAUCGGGUCAUUCCACACGGCGGAGCUCGCAGCCAUGGAAUACGACCGGUGGCAAGUCCGGUACCAUGGCUCCGCCGCCCGGCUGAACUUCCCGUUCGAGACAGCGCCGGUCCACCUCGUCCCACCGGAGCCAGGUGUGGUGAGCGUGGCGAUGGCGCGGGAAGACCAAGAGGCGAGGGAGCGCCUCGAGGCGGAGGCCGCCGCUGCGGCAUCCAUGGAAGACCUCCGCCGCCAGCACCAGGAGCUCAUGGAGGCGGAGCGGGCGUAUUCACCGAGAACGGUGGGGAGGUCAUUGUCAUCUCUGACGACGAGGUGGAAGGCAGCGAGGAGGGCGGCAAGAAAGGAAGCGAUGAGGAGGAGUUCGACGUCGCGGAGUGGCGGAGCAUCUUCCCCGACUGCGACGACGACGACACCGGCCCCGACCCAGCUCUCACCAAGGGUGGCCUAA